CGAGGCCAUGCAAGGACAUUCACCUUUUUCUCCUUCAACCACUGUGUGGUCGGUUUUGCUGUGAGCUUUGAGUCAUUGUCAUGUUAGGAGGUAAACUUCCCACUGACAACUUUCUGGCAGAGGGCAGCACACACAAUGAGCACUUUUUGUCAUAGGCCUCUUGGUCACCUCUCUGAGCAGUUUUCUCCUGGCUCUUUCAUCCAGUUUGGAGCGAUGUCCUAAUCCAGGCGUUCAAGGCGUCGAUUUGCAGCUUUCAUGAUGCGAAGUGCAGAAGUAAACCAGGGUGAUAUGUGCAUAGAAGAGAACUUGGAAACCCAGACCUGUUUCAGAGAGGUCAACAGGCCACACGAAGACAACGGUUUAAAUGUCUUAAAGGAGCCAUCAUUGAAAAGAAGUAUUAGCAGAGUAGGAGUAAGUUUGAAUGUCUCUAGUCAUUUUGAUAGUUAUGAAGAAAUAACUCAUAUAUAGAUCUGAGGACUACGUUAAGUUACAGUCUGCCCAAGAUGUAUUAAAAGGUGCAUCAAAUACGUUCUUUCUUUCUUUCUUUCUUUCUUUCUUUCUUUCUUUCUUUCUUUUUAAUUAAUUGGGUACUAGUUUCACAGGCAAUUGUUAUAUUUUCUAAACAUUCAUUAGGUUUGUGUCUUUGAAAUCUUAUUUUUAUGCCAAACAAGGAAAAAGACAGACAAUAUCAUCUGUGCUUGGAUGUGGCAAAAAAGGGUAGAACGCAUGUGGUUUACAUUAUAAUACAAUUUUGAUAAAAUGCAUAUCUGUGUCUGCAUUUGUAAACAACUGUUUUUGAGAUUAAACCUGCAGAGAAAAUGUCUCCCGCCCUCAUGUGGCUGUGAGAUGAAUUUGCGAUGAAUUUGAGAUGAGAUCAUUUUCCAACACGCGCGAGAUGGAGAGAGUUUAGCAAGGCCCAAGGGACUGAAACUCUGCCAGAAAUGUAAGGAGAGUGAAGGAAUCGGACCAUUCACGGAGUGAGAAAGUAAAAAUGAGUUGUGUGAGUGCCAGACUUCUUCCCUGAUGGAUUCAUUUGGGAGAGCUCCAUCCUCAUCUGGAAGGCUGUCAGGUCCCAGCAGAGGUUUUAUUGGGUGACAAGCAUUGUGUUGGCUGUCUCCUUACAGCCCUGGAUGCAGCCCAAAACUGUUGCUCAACGCAGAAGAAGACAAAGUUUGCUUCUUAGUCCUGUGAAAUAUGUUGAACUCUGGAACUCAGUCUUUUAUGUAGUGUAUGUGUGCGCAUUUUAUCUUAAAAGUUGUUUUCUAUCAACUUUUAAGAAUGGAAUGAAGGACCUUCCCUUUUCAUGCUUUAAACAUUACAAAUAAAUAGAAUUAC
Molecule: long non-coding RNA, 1335 nt
Organism: Cyprinus carpio carpio
Lineage: Eukaryota; Metazoa; Chordata; Actinopteri; Cypriniformes; Cyprinidae
Source: Ensembl